RNAcentral lists this ribosomal RNA (397 nucleotides) under uncultured bacterium. RNAcentral's name for it is "partial 16S ribosomal RNA". It matches the Rfam family "Bacterial small subunit ribosomal RNA", at positions 523 to 918 of the family's 1533-position model. The record is from RNAcentral.
AUACGUAGGUGACAAGCGUUAUCCGGAUUUACUGGGCGUAAAGGGCGUGUAGGCGGUCUUGCAAGUCAGAAGUGAAAUUCCUGAGCUCAACUCGGGCGCUGCUUCUGAAACUGGAGGACUUGAGUGCAGAAGAGGAGAGUGGAAUUCCAUGUGUAGCGGUGAAAUGCGUAGAUAUAUGGAGGAACACCAGUGGCGAAGGCGGCUCUCUGGACUGCAACUGACGCUGAGGCGCGAAAGUGUGGGGAGCAAACAGGAUUAGAUACCCUGGUAGUCCACACUGUAAAUGAUGAAUGCUAGGUGUAGGAGGUAUCGACCCCUUCUGUGCCGCAGUAAACACAGUAAGCAUUCCGCCUGGGGAGUACGGUCGCAAGAUUAAAACUCAAAGGAAUUGACGGGG